This 372-nucleotide ribosomal RNA is filed under the name uncultured organism. RNAcentral's name for it is "bacterial SSU rRNA". It matches the Rfam family "Bacterial small subunit ribosomal RNA", at positions 526 to 896 of the family's 1533-position model. The record is from RNAcentral.
CGGAGGGUGCAAGCGUUGUUCGGAUUUACUGGGCGUAAAGCGCGCGCAGGUGGGUGUGCAAGUCGGAAGUGAAAUCCCAGGGCUCAACCCUGGGGCUGCUCCCGAAACUGCACGCCUAGGGACUGGUAGAGGCUGGUAGAAUUCCCGGUGUAGCGGUGGAAUGCGUAGAGAUCGGGAAGAAUACCCGUGGCGAAGGCGGCCAGCUGGGCCAGAUCCGACACUGAGGCGCGAAAGCGUGGGGAGCAAACAGGAUUAGAUACCCUGGUAGUCCACGCCGUAAACGAUGGGCACUAGGCGCUGGUGGGAGCGACCCCUUCAGUGCCGUAGCUGACGCGAUAAGUGCCCCGCCUGGGGAGUACGGCCGCAAGGCUG